UGCCAGCCGCCGCGGUAAUACGGAGGGUGCAAGCGUUGCUCGGAAUUAUUGGGCGUAAAGGGGAGGUAGGUGGUCUCGUUUGUCUGGGGUGAAAUCCCUGAGCUUAACUUAGGAACUGCCCUAGAAACGGCGAGACUAGAGUCCUGGAGAGGGUCGUGGAAUUCCCGGUGUAGCGGUGAAAUGCGUAGAGAUCGGGAGGAACACCAGAGGCGAAGGCGGCGGCCUGGACAGGUACUGACACUAAACUCCGAAAGCGUGGGGAUCAAACAGGAUUAGAUA
RNAcentral lists this ribosomal RNA (279 nucleotides) under uncultured bacterium. RNAcentral describes it as "partial 16S ribosomal RNA". It matches the Rfam family "Bacterial small subunit ribosomal RNA", at positions 506 to 784 of the family's 1533-position model. The record is from RNAcentral.